GACGAACGCUGGCGGCGCGCCUAACACAUGCAAGUCGAACGAGCGAGAGAGAGCUUGCUUUCUCGAGCGAGUGGCGAACGGGUGAGUAACGCGUGAGGAACCUGCCUCAAAGAGGGGGACGAACAGUUGGAAACGGACUGCUAAUACCGCAUAAGCGCACAGUACCGCAUGGUACGGUGUGAAAACUACCGGUGGUAUGAGAUGGACCCGCGUCUGAUUAGCUAGUUGGUGGGGUAACGGCCUACCAAGGCGACGAUCAGUAGCCGACCUGAGAGGGUGACCGGCCACAUUGGGACUGAGACACGGCCCAG
Molecule: ribosomal RNA, 311 nt
Filed under: uncultured bacterium
Lineage: Bacteria
Description: bacterial SSU rRNA
Rfam family: Bacterial small subunit ribosomal RNA
Source: RNAcentral